This is a long non-coding RNA of Oncorhynchus tshawytscha (Chinook salmon), 617 nucleotides long. The record is from Ensembl. NCBI's taxonomy places the organism in Eukaryota, Metazoa, Chordata, Actinopteri, Salmoniformes, Salmonidae.
GCUGUGGUUGUUGUGGGAACAGCUGUGGUUGUUGUGGGAACAGCUGUGGUUGUUGUUGGAGCUGCUGUGGUUGUUGUGGGAGCAGCUGUGGUUGUUGUGGGAGCAGCUGUGGUUGUUGUGGGAACAGCUGUGGUUGUUGUGGGAACAGCUCUGGUUGUUGUUGGAGCAGCUGUGGUUUUUGAAGUAGCGACUGUGGUUGUUGUGGGAGAUUCUGUGGUUGUUGUUGGAGCAGCUGGGGUUUUUGAAGUAGCGACUGUGGUUGUUGUGGGAGAUUCUGUGGUUGUUGUUGGAGCAGCUAUGGUUGUUGUGGGAGCAGCUGGGGAUUUUGUUGGAGCCGCUGUGUUUGUUGUGGGUGAGGCUGCGGUUGUUGGGAGAGCAGCUGUCGUUGAUAUGGGAGCAGCUGUGAUUGUCGUUUGAGCAGCUGUGGUUGUUGUUGGAACAUCUGGAGUUUUUGUCAGAGCAGGUGGCGAUGUUGUUGGAACAGCUGUGGUUGUUGUGGGAGCAGCUGUGGUUGUUGUGAGAGUAGCUGUUGUUGUUUGUGGAACUGCUGUGGUUGAUGUAGGAGCAGCUGUGGUUGUUGUAUCCACAGCUGAAGUUGGAGUUGUGGCUGCUGGGGG